This 435-nucleotide ribosomal RNA is filed under the name uncultured bacterium. RNAcentral describes it as "partial 16S ribosomal RNA". It matches the Rfam family "Bacterial small subunit ribosomal RNA", at positions 28 to 507 of the family's 1533-position model. The record is from RNAcentral.
GAUGAACGCUGGCGGUAUGCUUAACACAUGCAAGUCGAACGGACUCUUCGGAGUUAGUGGCGGACGGGUGAGUAACGCGUGAGAAUCUGGCUUUGGGUUCGGGACAACCACUGGAAACGGUGGCUAAUACCGGAUGUGCCGAGAGGUAAAAGAGAAAUUGCCUGAAGAUGAGCUCGCGUCUGAUUAGCUAGUUGGUGAGGUAAAGGCUCACCAAGGCAGCGAUCAGUAGCUGGUCUGAGAGGAUGACCAGCCACACUGGGACUGAGACACGGCCCAGACUCCUACGGGAGGCAGCAGUGGGGAAUUUUCCGCAAUGGGCGAAAGCCUGACGGAGCAAUACCGCGUGAGGGAAGAAGGCUCUUGGGUUGUAAACCUCUUUUCUUAGGGAAGAAUAAAAUGACGGUACCUAAGGAAUCAGCAUCGGCUAACUCCGUG